CUCAAACUGUUGGUGUAAUGGAGGAUUCCGGGGCAGGAAGUGACAGGGAGGAAGUCCAGGGGUUAAUCAGUGUCUAGAGGGCCAGCUACAGACCACCGAAGAGACACAGGAAGGUUGGACUCCAAACUCUUGUCCCCAAGGGCCGUGUCCCUGAGCAGGACGACAAGAAAGUUACAGUGAGUAGUGGAAGCGGCUGGCGCACGCUGGGUCUGCUACUGGUUAUCUGGUCAUCGUUGUGAGAAGCACUGGAGUCCAACCGCAACGGGUACACCACUGUGACGUGAUGUGACAUGGAUUACCCAGAAUACCUAAGCCACAGCCACACUUCCUCUGGCCCUGGUAUCACCUUGAAUGGAGCCCUGAUAAUAUUCCACUAAGUCUUUUUUUUUUUUUUCUCUUGGAAUUUUUGGCCAGAAGACGCCUCUUCCUCCCUGCAAAGCGUCCAGAUAUGUUCUCUAUGGUAAUUACCUCCACGGGCAGCUGGAUCCGACUUGGAUUUUGUGGAGUAUACGGUGAGGUUCUGCGGGGGAAGCAUCGAAUCUUCCAAGUAAACAAACACCUGGAAGGCACUGCUCAAAGCAAGAAGUCGGUGCUGCAAAAGUAACUGAGCAUGUUGGCUUUUCCCACACAGCAGUUUUACUGUUGUGGCCCUUCAAACAAGAAAGACACGGGAAGCCUCACGAGGGGAUGCUUAAAGCGGGCAUACUUUACCGAAGGGCUUUAAAUAACUGGUGAUGUGGACAGAGAUGACAAAGAGCAAGAGGCCAGGGAACCCAAAUGUCUGCUUCCUACUUACAGUUUUGGUGUCUUUUGCAAAAUAAAUAAAUAAAUAAAUGGCAG
RNAcentral lists this long non-coding RNA (840 nucleotides) under Cricetulus griseus (Chinese hamster). RNAcentral describes it as "lncRNA (ENSCGRG00015041614.1)". Lineage: Eukaryota; Metazoa; Chordata; Mammalia; Rodentia; Cricetidae. The record is from RNAcentral.